This 741-nucleotide ribosomal RNA is filed under the name uncultured Chloroflexota bacterium. RNAcentral's name for it is "bacterial SSU rRNA". It matches the Rfam family "Bacterial small subunit ribosomal RNA", at positions 55 to 817 of the family's 1533-position model. The record is from RNAcentral. Lineage: Bacteria; Bacillati; Chloroflexota.
AUGCAAGUCGAACGAGUUUCCGGGCUUGCUCGGAAACUAGUGGCGAACGGCUGAGUAACGCGUAGGUGACCUACCCCGUAGUGUGGAAUAACUGCCCGAAAGGGUAGCUAAUACCGCAUGUUGAGCCGACAUCAAUGUCGUCUCCAAAGCAGAAAUGCGCUAUGGGCGGGGCCUGCGUUCGAUUAGCUAGUUGGUGGGGUAAUGGCUCACCAAGGCGACGAUCGAUAGGUGGUCUGAGAGGACGAUCACCCAGACUGGGACUGAGACACGGCCCAGACUCCUACGGGAGGCAGCAGUCGGGAAUUUUGCGCAAUGGGGGAAACCCUGACGCAGCAAUACCGCGUGUGGGAUGAAGGCCUUCGGGUCGUAAACCACUUUUUUCGGGGACGAUAAUGACGGUACCCGAAGAAUAAGCCACGGCUAACUACGUGCCAGCAGCCGCGGUAAUACGUAGGUGGCAAGCGUUGUCCGGAUUUACUGGGCGUAAAGCGCGCGCAGGCGGUGAAUGAAGUCGAAAGUGAAAGCCCCGAGCUCAACUCGGGAACUGCUUUCGAAACCAGUUCACUUGAAGGUGGAAGAGGGAAGUGGAAUUCCGAGUGUAGCGGUGGAAUGCGUAGAUAUUCGGAGGAACACCAGAGGCGAAGGCGACUUCCUGGUCCAAUCUUGACGCUGAGGCGCGAAAGCUAGGGGAGCAAACAGGAUUAGAUAUCUUGGUAGUCCUAGCUGUAAACGAUGGAUACU